AAGAAAUGUCAGCGAAAUUUGUACGACAUAAGUUUAUCCAAACACUAUGGCAACGGCAAGAUGUAUUAAGCGAGGUAUCAACGAUGUAACUGGACGUCUGGCAAUUAUCGGAUCGUAAUUAAGUUCACCGCGUUGUGGAAAACUGACUCGAAUCCGAAGUGUGGUUACAUGUGUGAUAUAAGGCAAGAUGGCGUCGCAAUUGGCGAUCAGCUGAUUGUUGUCGCUGGAAUCGGCAAAAGAUGCGUUGCGAGGAAGACUAUAUUGUCGAGGAAACUAUUAGCAUCAUCGAUGCUAUCUGUAUAAACGUUCCCAUCGUAAACUGGCAUUAUAUACACACUGACUCAUCCAUUCUCCUCCGAGAUCUCGCAGUAUCUGUUAUCAACACGAAAUACUAUACAGUCACCGAACAAGUGUAGUAGCCUCACUUCGACAUAGUUUGGAGAACACUUACCACGUCACAGAUGGUUGGCAGGAUCGUGUGAAUCUGUAUUUACGGAUACAGAAGGAUUCAGGUAUAUGAACAUCUUUGAAGUUACUUUUCAAGUGGGAAAGCUUGCCGUCUAGUGGACGAAAUUCGUACGAUGUACUUGAAACGAAUCAUCAUUUCGGUUGAAAAGAACGAACGUGCGGAUCAAAGAAUCAGAAGACUGUCGAAUCAACCGAUAUUUUAAUUCGGUGAAAUAAUAUUCAUUUCGUACAACCAAUGAUUCGUAUAUUGUGAGCGCAUCCAGAGAUAUUGAAAUGAAUUAAAAGUGUGUAUUUGCAAUUUUAAACUACACGUGAUUGUUUAAAAGUAAGAAAAAUUAUGUUUCACUGUAUUAGUUAAUUACUUGAAUCG
Neodiprion fabricii is the source of this 838-nucleotide long non-coding RNA. RefSeq lists it as uncharacterized. The transcript has 3 exons. The record is from RefSeq and is a predicted model, not a curated record. NCBI's taxonomy places the organism in Eukaryota, Metazoa, Arthropoda, Insecta, Hymenoptera, Diprionidae.